AAGCUUCAAAUUAUAUCCGUUACCUUGCAUAAUAGUCACUCGGGAUUGGUUUUCCUUGAUUCUUGUGGGACAUUGUUGUGUAGAAAUGUAUGUAUGAGAUGUUGAGAUGACGUGAUGUGGCCUUGAGUUGGAGAGAUGACGACUUUGCCCCUCACCAGAGUUAUCGCCGGUUUGGGUUGGUAAAGCAGACGUUGAUCAGGGUUAUUGCUGAGAUUUGACUGCUGUAAGUGUUG
RNAcentral lists this long non-coding RNA (233 nucleotides) under Panax ginseng (ginseng). Its description in RNAcentral is "long non-coding RNA (PGIN_LNC002617)". Lineage: Eukaryota; Viridiplantae; Streptophyta; Magnoliopsida; Apiales; Araliaceae. The record is from RNAcentral.